RNAcentral lists this long non-coding RNA (392 nucleotides) under Dermacentor andersoni. Its description in RNAcentral is "uncharacterized LOC126544046". Lineage: Eukaryota; Metazoa; Arthropoda; Arachnida; Ixodida; Ixodidae. The record is from RNAcentral.
UUUUGCGUGUAAAUGAACUUAUACUUUGCAACUUACUUUUGUUGCGUUACCUAACAACAAGCUAGCGCCACGCCAGACGCGCGUGCAUACGUCAUGCGCCAGACAAGCCGCAGGAGUGAGCGAGGCCGGCUGCGCAUGUGAAGCUCGCGUGCUCGGCUACCCGUCUCUUUUGGAUGUAGCCCGUUUUUGGGGCUACCGGCGAUCUCUUGUGUUCCGUCUACAUUUCGACACGGCACCGCUGCACUACCGGACUACAGCAAGCUGAUGGCAUCCGGUGGAGCUUCGUACGGCAACGACUGCUGCUUACCUGGUGCCCCAACUUUGGAUGAACGUAGAAGAAGCCCGGAACGAGUAUUUAUAUAGAGCAAAAUAAACAUUUCAUCAUUUCAGAA